This 430-nucleotide ribosomal RNA is filed under the name uncultured bacterium. RNAcentral's name for it is "bacterial SSU rRNA". It matches the Rfam family "Bacterial small subunit ribosomal RNA", at positions 29 to 507 of the family's 1533-position model. The record is from RNAcentral.
AACGAACGCUGGCGGCAUGCCCUAACACAUGCAAGUCGAACGCUAUUUAUAGAGUGGCGCACGGGUGAGUAACGCGUGGAAACCUACCAUUCUGUACGGAAUAACGAUUGGAAACGAUCGCUAAUACCGUAUACGCCCUGUGGGGGAAAGGUCCGCCGCAGAAUGAGGGGUCCGCGUCCGAUUAGCUUGUUGGUGAGGUAAGAGCUCACCAAGGCGACGAUCGGUAGCUGGUCUGAGAGGAUGAUCAGCCACACUGGGACUGAGACACGGCCCAGACUCCUACGGGAGGCAGCAGUGGGGAAUAUUGGACAAUGGGGGCAACCCUGAUCCAGCAAUGCCGCGUGUGUGAUGAAGGCCUUAGGGUUGUAAAGCACUUUCACUGGUGAAGAUGAUGACGGUAGCCAGAGAAGAAGCCCCGGCUAACUUCGUG